UACAGAGGGUGCGAGCGUUGUCCGGAUUUAUUGGGCGUAAAGAGUUUGUAGGCGGUUAAUCAAGUCAGAAGUGAAAGAAUGGGGCUUAACUCCAUCCACGCUUUUGAAACUGAUUAACUAGAGAAAUCUAGAGGUAAGUGGAAUUUCCAGUGUAGCGGUGAAAUGCGUAGAUAUUGGAAGGAACAUCAGAGGCGAAGGCGACUUACUGGGGAUUUUCUGACGCUGAGAAACGAAAGCUAGGGUAGCGAAA
RNAcentral lists this ribosomal RNA (250 nucleotides) under uncultured bacterium. RNAcentral describes it as "partial 16S ribosomal RNA". It matches the Rfam family "Bacterial small subunit ribosomal RNA", at positions 524 to 773 of the family's 1533-position model. The record is from RNAcentral.